GAGCGGUAAGGCCACUUCGGGGGUACACGAGCGGCGAACGGGUGAGUAACACGUGAGUAACCUGCCCCAUUCUUCGGAAUAACCAGUGGAAACGCUGGCUAAUGCCGAAUAUGACCAUCGAAGGCAUCUUCUGGUGGUGGAAAGCUCCGGCGGAGUGGGAUGGACUCGCGGCCUAUCAGCUUGUUGGUGAGGUAACGGCUCACCAAGGCGACGACGGGUAGCCGGCCUGAGAGGGUGACCGGCCACACUGGGACUGAGACACGGCCCAGACUCCUACGGGAGGCAGCAGUGGGGAAUAUUGGACAAUGGGCGAAAGCCUGAUCCAGCAACGCCGCGUGAGGGAUGACGGCCUUCGGGUUGUAAACCUCUUUCAGCAGGGACGAAGCGAAAGUGACGGUACCUGCAGAAGAAGGACCGGCCAACUACGUGCCAGCAGCCGCGGUAAUACGUAGGGUCCGAGCGUUGUCCGGAAUUAUUGGGCGUAAAGGGCUCGUAGGCGGUUUGUCGCGUCGGGAGUGAAAACUCAGGGCUCAACCCUGAGCGUGCUUACGAUACGGGCAAACUAGAGGUAUGCAGGGGAGAACGGAAUUCCUGGUGUAGCGGUGGAAUGCGCAGAUAUCAGGAGGAACACCGGUGGCGAAGGCGGUUCUCUGGGCAUUACCUGACGCUGAGGAGCGAAAGCAUGGGGAGCGAACAGGAUU
Molecule: ribosomal RNA, 701 nt
Filed under: Aeromicrobium sp.
Lineage: Bacteria; Bacillati; Actinomycetota; Actinomycetes; Propionibacteriales; Nocardioidaceae
Description: bacterial SSU rRNA
Rfam family: Bacterial small subunit ribosomal RNA
Source: RNAcentral